CAGCCGCCACGGGAAUACAGAGGGUGCGAGCGUUAAUCGGAUUUACUGGGCGUAAAGCGUGCGUAGGCGGCUUCUUAAGUCUGAUGUGAAAUCCCUGAGCUUAACUUAGGAAUUGCAUUCGAUACUGGGAAGCUAGAGUAUGGGAGAGGAUGGUAGAAUUCCAGGUGUAGCGGUGAAAUGCGUAGAGAUCUGGAGGAAUACCGAUGGCGAAGGCAGCCAUCUGGCCUAAUACUGACGCUGAGGUACGAAAGCAUGGGGAGCAAACAGGAUUAGAUACCCCUGUAGUCCCUGUCUCUUAUAU
This 301-nucleotide ribosomal RNA is filed under the name uncultured bacterium. RNAcentral describes it as "partial 16S ribosomal RNA". It matches the Rfam family "Bacterial small subunit ribosomal RNA", at positions 509 to 809 of the family's 1533-position model. The record is from RNAcentral.